AAACCAGCAACUCAAGUGGUCAGGAGGUUUAUUGGGCCUAAAGCAUCCGUAGCCUGCUGUAUAAGCUUUCGGUUAAAUCCAUACGCUCAACGUAUGGGCCGCCGGGAAUAAUGUACAGCUAGGGAGUGGGAGAGGUAGACGGUACUCGGUAGGAAGGGGUAAAAUCCUUUGAUCUAUUGAGGACCACCUGUGGCGAAGGCGGUCUACCAGAACACGUUCGACGGUGAGGGAUGAAAGCUGGGGGAGCAAACCGGAUUAGAAACCCGAGUAGUCC
This 274-nucleotide ribosomal RNA is filed under the name uncultured bacterium. RNAcentral's name for it is "partial 16S ribosomal RNA". It matches the Rfam family "Archaeal small subunit ribosomal RNA", at positions 473 to 747 of the family's 1478-position model. The record is from RNAcentral.